This 469-nucleotide ribosomal RNA is filed under the name uncultured bacterium. RNAcentral's name for it is "bacterial SSU rRNA". It matches the Rfam family "Bacterial small subunit ribosomal RNA", at positions 26 to 507 of the family's 1533-position model. The record is from RNAcentral.
AGGACGAACGCUGGCGGCAUGCCUAAUACAUGCAAGUCGAACGCGACCAGCCGGUGCUUGCACUGGCGAAGUCGAGUGGCGAACGGGUGAGUAACACGUGAGAAACCUACCCUGGAGUGGGGAAUAACUCGAAGAAAUUCGAGCUAAUACCGCAUACCUUCUUACCGUCGAAUGGUGGUUUGAAGAAAGAUUUAUCGCUCUGGGAGGGUCUCGCGGCCUAUCAGCUAGUUGGUGAGGUAACGGCUCACCAAGGCAUCGACGGGUAGCUGGUCUGAGAGGACGAUCAGCCACACUGGAACUGGGACACGGUCCAGACUCCUACGGGAGGCAGCAGUAGGGAAUCUUGCGCAAUGGGCGAAAGCCUGACGCAGCAAUGCCGCGUGCGGGACGAAGGCCCUAGGGUCGUAAACCGCUUUCAGUAGGGACGAAAAUGACGGUACCUGCAGAAGAAGCUCCGGCCAACUACGUG